GCCCAUAUAGCUCAGUGGUAGAGCACUUCCUUGGUAAGGAAGAGGUCGGCGGUUCAAUCCCGCUUAUGGGCUCCA
RNAcentral lists this transfer RNA (75 nucleotides) under Helicobacter didelphidarum. RNAcentral describes it as "Helicobacter sp. MIT 17-337 tRNA-Thr". It matches the Rfam family "tRNA". Rfam says of the family: Transfer RNA (tRNA) molecules are approximately 80 nucleotides in length. Their secondary structure includes four short double-helical elements and three loops (D, anti-codon, and T loops). Further hydrogen bonds mediate the characteristic L-shaped molecular structure. tRNAs have two regions of fundamental functional importance: the anti-codon, which is responsible for specific mRNA codon recognition, and the 3' end, to which the tRNAs corresponding amino acid is attached (by aminoacyl-tRNA synthetases). tRNAs cope with the degeneracy of the genetic code in two manners: having more than one tRNA (with a specific anti-codon) for a particular amino acid; and 'wobble' base-pairing, i.e. permitting non-standard base-pairing at the 3rd anti-codon position. The record is from RNAcentral. Lineage: Bacteria; Pseudomonadati; Campylobacterota; Epsilonproteobacteria; Campylobacterales; Helicobacteraceae.